Molecule: long non-coding RNA, 600 nt
Filed under: Lepisosteus oculatus (spotted gar)
Lineage: Eukaryota; Metazoa; Chordata; Actinopteri; Semionotiformes; Lepisosteidae
Description: lncRNA (ENSLOCG00000022329.1)
Source: RNAcentral
CUCCCAGAUAAGCAACAUGUCCUGUCGCUAACACAAACCAGCACAUCGUAAAUUGUGUCCAGUGAUGGUAUGUCCAAAAUUCAGUGCUUUUUGAAGUCUGCAGCUCCAGUAGGGUUGGUGGGGGGAGCUGAAGACCAUGUGGAGUGUGGUCCUAGCUGAAAGUCAUCUAUCAAUCAUCCAACGAUAACCAACCAACAAGGAAUUUAUGGGGUAGAAAAGUUACUACAACUCAUGACAUCACAACCAAUCACCAACUACGAUUAGCUGAUUUUAAAAGGUGUCACUUUACUCUCUCUCGGUACUCUCUCUCAAAUGAGACCUGGCAACCUCAUCUGGCUUCUCAACUAUGUGACAGUAGAACAAUUGUUGAAGCCACAGGAAACACCAGGCUGAGUGAGAAUGAGUACAUAAAAGGAAUUCUGCCACACUUGUUCUGCAACAAGAGAAAUCCUGUGGCUCACAAACCAAUGCGGGAGGACAUUGAGCAUGGUGGCAGCACCCCAGCUCAGCUUCUUCUCCCACGCAUGUCCAAUCUGCUUCCUCUGACUCAUCGGUAAAGGUCUCCAAGAUAUCAAAAACAGUAAGUAAUAUAGCUAUUUU